GACGAACGCUGGCGGCGCGCCUAACACAUGCAAGUCGAACGAGAGAGAGGAAGCUUGCUUCCUCAAUCGAGUGGCGAACGGGUGAGUAACGCGUGAGGAACCUGCCUCAAAGAGGGGGACAACAGUUGGAAACGACUGCUAAUACCGCAUAAGCCCACAGGUCGGCAUCGACCAGAGGGAAAAGGAGCAAUCCGCUUUGAGAUGGCCUCGCGUCCGAUUAGCUAGUUGGUGAGGUAAUGGCCCACCAAGGCGACGAUCGGUAGCCGGACUGAGAGGUUGAACGGCCACAUUGGGACUGAGACACGGCCCAGACUCCUACGGGAGGCAGCAGUGGGGAAUAUUGCACAAUGGGGGAAACCCUGAUGCAGCGACGCCGCGUGGAGGAAGAAGGUCUUCGGAUUGUAAACUCCUGUUGUUGAGGAAGAUAAUGACGGUACUCAACAAGGAAGUGA
RNAcentral lists this ribosomal RNA (452 nucleotides) under uncultured bacterium. RNAcentral's name for it is "bacterial SSU rRNA". It matches the Rfam family "Bacterial small subunit ribosomal RNA", at positions 28 to 493 of the family's 1533-position model. The record is from RNAcentral.